CGGGUGCUGCCUGGUUCGUGAGAACAAAUUUGUCUCGGGGCCUUACGCUUCUGAAGGGAGCUGUUCCUGGGGAGGACCGUGGUCCUCUUCACACGGCGCCCACCUACUUAUGUAGGUCUCCGAGGAAGCACAGUUCCACGGCCAAGGCGGCCCCGCU
RNAcentral lists this non-coding RNA (157 nucleotides) under Parvibaculum sp. Its description in RNAcentral is "6S RNA". It matches the Rfam family "6S / SsrS RNA". From Rfam's summary of the family: E. coli 6S RNA was the first non coding RNA to be sequenced, but its function was unknown until recently. It consists of 184 nucleotides that fold into an extended hairpin structure with a large single-stranded internal bulge. Lineage: Bacteria; Pseudomonadati; Pseudomonadota; Alphaproteobacteria; Hyphomicrobiales; Parvibaculaceae. The record is from RNAcentral.